Molecule: long non-coding RNA, 1979 nt
Filed under: Podarcis muralis (Common wall lizard)
Lineage: Eukaryota; Metazoa; Chordata; Lepidosauria; Squamata; Lacertidae
Description: lncRNA (ENSPMRG00000005619.1)
Source: RNAcentral
UCUCUCAUUUGUUUACAGCGUGGUUAUAGGAGAAGGAGCCUUCCUCCCACAUUCACCCUGAUUUGCUCCUGGGGUGUUUAUGUGUCCCCCCAGGGUUGGCCCAAGACCUUUGGACACCUGAGAUGAAUCACAAAAAUGGUGUGCCUUCUGCCAGGGAAGAAGGAGCGAGUGAAAAUCAACGUCGGAAACAGCAUAGAAGUACGCAUUUGGAAAACAGUGUUGUGAUGCUGAUUCUGGAGACACUAGGUCACCCGGUUCCCUCUCACCUACUUUCAGAUUAUCCGGUCUCUUAGACAUUGAUCCUGGAGACAAUGAAAAAUACUGGCAGGCGAGCCAAAUCAACAGCGAUGUUAAUGAAGUUAUGAAUGAUUAACAAGGAUGCCAGUCACAAGGAACCAAUCCCACCAUGGAUUAAUCUACACCGGAUUUCAAAAAUGGAACCGCAUCAAUAUGUAGGCUAUAUAUUAAUGGUGUGUUACUCAGCUCGGCUAACUGAGUGAUUGAAGUUCUGUAUGCACUAAAGAUGUAUCAUUAAAAUAAAGAUAGUUAAUAAUUCAAGGUUUGCUACUCUCAGGCAGCACCAAAGCUGAGAAGAAGAAGCUCUAUCUAGCUAGUGCCAAACUCUACAAUUCUACCAAUUCCUAGAUUUGGUGUUUCAAAGGUUAAUAAAAGUUUUGUCUUGUUACCAGAAAAAAACAAACAAAAAACGUGGGGAGCAAGAAUUGUGGACCUAUUUUGAUAUAGAAAGAUUGUCCUACACUUUUCAUAAAAAAUGACAAAAGCUUAUCGGUUUAACACUGACUCCCUUGUUUAGAUUUUUAUGGGAAAAUAAGACAAUUGAUCAAAAGAAAACUGAACUGUCAAUUUCAAGGAGAAAAACCCAUUCAUAAUUAACAGCACCUUUAAAAACAAAAACCAAAACCCUCCUAAUUGUGUUAAGUUGGAUACAGCCCAUAGAAACAAUUUAUAACUAAGCUGCCCUUCCCAGGCUCUGUGGGGCUACAACAGAUCACCACUAGAGGACAAGAGGGCAGGUCUUUUUCCCAAGGGCUCCUUUACUGGAUUGUGGGAGACUGGUGUUUGUUUUGUUUUUUCCGUUCCUUUCAGGCUUUCUGCUAUGCUGACUAAGAAUCCAUCUGAAGCGGUGUCUACCUUGCUUCUCUUAAAUCCACAUGAAGGCUGUUACAACUUUAGACAGGGAUAAUGUGGGGCUGAGUAAACAUACUAAGAAACUGGCAAGCACCCUGGGACAUCUCCCAUAGAGGAAACACCUUGAGAGCCUCUUGUAGGGGAUUGAGAAGUUGGUGGGUGGGUGUGGCAGUGCCCAAGAUCACCCCUUGGGUCUGCCUUUUCUCCUAUAGAAAUUGAGGUGCACUUGGGUGAAGUAGAUCCCUUCAACAUUGCACCCACUCUUCCUAGGGCAGUGAGUUUGAGUAAGAUCUUGAGAUCAGGAGCUUUUGGGUUGAUCUCCCUUCCCCAGAGCAAGUUGGCAGGGUCUGUCUUUAGUUGCUCUUACAUAUAACAAUUUAGGUGGGCAAUAGCCACUGAUAAACAAGAUCAGUGUGACUGGAGCAUGACUGCAGAGCUCUUUCCUUGACCUGAGCUUUGAUUACAUUAAAAAGGAGGAUUAAUUCAAUCAGUGAGAUGAAAGGCAAAUCAUUGUUAAACAUUGGGUAGCCUGAAGGUGCUGACAUCUCUCAAUCCCAAUAGCAUUUAUUUAGUUCACCAAAGAAAUAUAUAUCUAUAUAUCUAUGGAGCAUGCAUGCAUGCAAGCAAACCCACCCUCCACAUUUCCCCCUCUUUCCUGUGAGGGGGGAGGACGAGGAAUGCUCUCCAUGAAGUAAGAGCCCCCAACCAUACUAUUGGAACUUUUUUUGUGUGUCUUCCAAAUGGGAGUCUCAGGAGAGCUUAAAAAAAUUAAAAGGGAGGAGGUUAAGAAAGGAGGGGGGCGAAUGAGAGGGGUUAGAUAACCUCUGCAA